AGCAUGAGUUAUGUCAUGUUAUCGACAUGUGAAUUCAUAGCAUGUCAGAAGGCAGACCCGGAGAACUGAAACAUCUUAGUACCCGGAGGAAGAGAAAGAAAAAUCGAUUCCCUGAGUAGCGGCGAGCGAAACGGGAAGAGCCCAAACCAACAAGCUUGCUUGUUGGGGUUGUAGGACACUCUAUACGGAGUUACAAAAGAACAUGUUAGACGAAUCAUCUGGAAAGAUGAAUCAAAGAAGGUAAUAAUCCUGUAGUCGAAAACAUAUUCUCUCUUGAGUGGAUCCUGAGUACGACGGAGCACGUGAAAUUCCGUCGGAAUCUGGGAGGACCAUCUCCUAAGGCUAAAUACUCUCUAGUGACCGAUAGUGAACCAGUACCGUGAGGGAAAGGUGAAAAGUACCCCGGAAGGGGAGUGAAAGAGAACUUGAAACCGUGUGCUUACAAGUAGUCAGAGCCCGUUAAUGGGUGAUGGCGUGCCUUUUGUAGAAUGAACCGGCGAGUUACGAUCUGAUGCAAGGUUAAGCAGCAAAUGUGGAGCCGCAGCGAAAGCGAGUCUGAAUAGGGCGUUGAGUAUUUGGUCGUAGACCCGAAACCAGGUGAUCUACCCUUGGUCAGGUUGAAGUUCAGGUAACACUGAAUGGAGGACCGAACCGACUUACGUUGAAAAGUGAGCGGAUGAACUGAGGGUAGCGGAGAAAUUCCAAUCGAACUUGGAGAUAGCUGGUUCUCUCCGAAAUAGCUUUAGGGCUAGCCUCAAGUGAUGAUUAUUGGAGGUAGAGCACUGUUUGGACGAGGGGCCCCUCUCGGGUUACCGAAUUCAGACAAACUCCGAAUGCCAAUUAAUUUAACUUGGGAGUCAGAACAUGGGUGAUAAGGUCCGUGUUCGAAAGGGAAACAGCCCAGACCACCAGCUAAGGUCCCAAAAUAUAUGUUAAGUGGAAAAGGAUGUGGCGUUGCCCAGACAACUAGGAUGUUGGCUUAGAAGCAGCCAUCAUUUAAAGAGUGCGUAAUAGCUCACUAGUCGAGUGACACUGCGCCGUAA
This 1043-nucleotide ribosomal RNA is filed under the name Staphylococcus epidermidis. RNAcentral describes it as "partial 23S ribosomal RNA". It matches the Rfam family "Bacterial large subunit ribosomal RNA", at positions 130 to 1169 of the family's 2925-position model. Lineage: Bacteria; Bacillati; Bacillota; Bacilli; Caryophanales; Staphylococcaceae. The record is from RNAcentral.